CCCCCUAAAAAAACCCUUUAAAAUCCCCUUUAAAAACUCUUUAAAAUCCCCUUUAAAAACCCUUCAGCCUCCCCCAAAAAUCUUAUAAAAAUCUUUUAAAAAACCCCAAAAAUCCCUCUAAAAAUCCUUUAAAUUAUUUUUUAAAACCCCUUUAAAACCUCUUUAAAAAACCCUUUAAAAUCCUUUAAAAAUGCCUUUUAAAUCCCUUAAAAACCCCUUAAAAUUCCCUUUAAAUUCCAUUUUUUGACCUUCCCUGCCCCCGAUAAUUACUCCUGGCCGCGAUAUUAAUUAAUUAACGGCCAUUAAUGAUGGGGUUAAUGACGCCUCGUUAGGGUGGGGAAACGCAAGAUUUAGGGCCAGGAGAGGCUUUAAAUGCUAAUUUAUAUUUAAUUUAUAUUUAUUUGCGUUUAUUUUAUAUUUAUAUUUAUUUUAUUUUUAUUUUUAUUUUUUUCCCCUGCUCCGUUUAAUCCUGAAAAUCCCCAUUAAAAAAAUCCUUUUAAUUAAUUAAAAAAAACCCCCAAAAAAUGAAAUAAUUGUGGGGGAUUUUUUGUUUAAUUUUUUGGGGGUUUAUGGGGAUUUUUUGGAUUUUAUGGUUUUUCGGGGGGUUUUCAUGGUUUUUAAUGUAAAAAAUCCAUAAAUAUUCUUAUUUAUCCAUAUGAAUCCAUAUAAAAUCAAUAAAUAUCCUUAUUUAUCAAUAUUUAUCCAUAGAAAAAUCCGCAUUUAGCCAAAUUUAUGAAUAUUUAACCAUAUAAAAAUUCAUAACAAUCAAUAUUUAUCCAUAGAAAAAUCCGCAUUUAGCCAUAUUUACCCACACUUAUCCAUAUUGCUCCAUGUAAAAAAUCCACAUUUAGCCAAAUUUAUCACUAUUGAACCAUAUAAAAAUCCACAUUUAUCAAUAUUUGCCCAUACAAAAAAAUCCGUAGAAAUCCACAUUUAUCCACAGAAAAUCCACAUUUACCAACACAAAAAUCCACAUUUACCAACACGAAAAUUCACAUUUAGCAAUACAAAAAUCCACAUUUACCGACAUGAAAAUCCACAUUUACCAACACAAAAAUCCACAUUUAUCCACGUAAAACCCCAAAACCCGCAGGGACCCCAAAAUCCCCACACAGAAACCCCAAAACCAGAGACCCCAAAAUCCCCCAGAGCCCCCAA
This 1158-nucleotide long non-coding RNA is filed under the name Junco hyemalis (dark-eyed junco). Its description in RNAcentral is "lncRNA (ENSJHYG00000000758.1)". Lineage: Eukaryota; Metazoa; Chordata; Aves; Passeriformes; Passerellidae. The record is from RNAcentral.